CAAACUGUUGCAGAAGUACAUUGAAGCAAAUAAGUUCAAAAGGGCAUAACUCCUAGAAAAAAAAUUGAAUCGUAAUUUCCUGUUGAUAUGCACAUCUACGUAGUAUGUCCUUAUCUGAAAAGGUUUUGAAUCUGUUGUGUGGUUUGAGAGGAGUUGCGAUGACAAACUGUUGCAGUGUACAUUAAAGUAAAUAGUUCAAAGGGGCGUAACUCCUAGAAAAAAAUUGAAUCGCAAUUUCCCGUCGAUAUGCACAACUACAUAGUAUGUCCUUAUUAUCUGAAAAGGUUUCGUGAAAUUCUGUUGUGUGGUUUGAGAGGAGUUGCGAUGACAAACUGUUGCAGUAGUACAUUAAAGUAAAUAAGUUCAAAGGGGCGUAACUCCUAGAAAAAAAAAUUGAAUCGCAAUUUUCCGUCGAUAUGCACAACUACAUAGUAUGUCCUUAUUAUCUGAAAAGGUUUUGUGAAAUUCUGUUGUGUGGUUUGAGAGGAGUUGCGAUGACAAACUGUUGCAGUAGUACAUUAAAGUAAAUAAGUUCAAAGGGGCGUAACUCCUAGAAAAAAAUUGAAUCGCAAUUUC
Molecule: long non-coding RNA, 576 nt
Filed under: Mytilus galloprovincialis (Mediterranean mussel)
Lineage: Eukaryota; Metazoa; Mollusca; Bivalvia; Mytilida; Mytilidae
Source: RNAcentral